GCCUCCGUGGUGUAGUGGUCAGCACGCUGGGCGCGUAUUCUAGAGGUCCGUGGUUCGAGUCCCGGCGAAGGCG
RNAcentral lists this transfer RNA (73 nucleotides) under Stegodyphus mimosarum. It matches the Rfam family "tRNA". Rfam says of the family: Transfer RNA (tRNA) molecules are approximately 80 nucleotides in length. Their secondary structure includes four short double-helical elements and three loops (D, anti-codon, and T loops). Lineage: Eukaryota; Metazoa; Arthropoda; Arachnida; Araneae; Eresidae. The record is from Rfam by way of RNAcentral.